UACGUAGGCAGCAAGCGUUGUUCGGAAUUAUUGGGCGUAAAGAGCUCGUAGGCGGUUUGUCGCGUCUGCUGUGAAAACUGGAGGCUCAACCUCCAGCCUGCAGUGGGUACGGGCAAACUAGAGUGCGGUAGGGGAGACUGGAAUUCCUGGUGUAGCGGUGAAAUGCGCAGAUAUCAGGAGGAACACCGGUGGCGAAGGCGGGUCUCUGGGCCGAUACUGACGCUGAGGAGCGAAAGCGUGGGGAGCGAACAGG
RNAcentral lists this ribosomal RNA (253 nucleotides) under uncultured bacterium. Its description in RNAcentral is "partial 16S ribosomal RNA". It matches the Rfam family "Bacterial small subunit ribosomal RNA", at positions 524 to 776 of the family's 1533-position model. The record is from RNAcentral.